This 185-nucleotide ribosomal RNA is filed under the name Clostridioides difficile. RNAcentral's name for it is "partial 23S ribosomal RNA". It matches the Rfam family "Bacterial large subunit ribosomal RNA", at positions 1179 to 1371 of the family's 2925-position model. Lineage: Bacteria; Bacillati; Bacillota; Clostridia; Peptostreptococcales; Peptostreptococcaceae. The record is from RNAcentral.
GGCUAUACCUUGCUACGUCACCUUCUGUACCGGUACGGCUGGGGAGGGGAGACUCCCAGACGGGUUGAAGCAUGACCGUAAGGACAUGUGGACAGUAUGGGAGUGAGAAUGUUGGCAUGGGUAGCGAGAUGUGGGUGGGAAUCCCACAGGCCGUAAACCCAAGGUUUCCAGGGGAAGGUUCGUCC